UCCUCUGGCGGGUUGCGUGCGGAAGCCUUCGGGCUUGCCGGUUUCCUUGUGGGCCGGUAGUUCCAACCGCGUGCAGCCCGCCUUUUUU
RNAcentral lists this non-coding RNA (88 nucleotides) under delta proteobacterium NaphS2. The record is from RNAcentral. Lineage: Bacteria; Deltaproteobacteria.